RNAcentral lists this ribosomal RNA (556 nucleotides) under uncultured bacterium. Its description in RNAcentral is "partial 16S ribosomal RNA". It matches the Rfam family "Bacterial small subunit ribosomal RNA", at positions 355 to 902 of the family's 1533-position model. The record is from RNAcentral.
UGGGGAAUUUUGGACAAUGGGCGCAAGCCUGAUCCAGCCAUGCCGCGUGCGGGAAGAAGGCCUUCGGGUUGUAAACCGCUUUUGUCAGGGAAGAAAUCUUCUGAGUUAAUACCUCGGGAGGAUGACGGUACCUGAAGAAUAAGCACCGGCUAACUACGUGCCAGCAGCCGCGGUAAUACGUAGGGUGCAAGCGUUAAUCGGAAUUACUGGGCGUAAAGCGUGCGCAGGCGGUUUUGUAAGACAGAGGUGAAAUCCCCGGGCUCAACCUGGGAACUGCCUUUGUGACUGCAAGGCUUGAGUGCGGCAGAGGGGGAUGGAAUUCCGCGUGUAGCAGUGAAAUGCGUAGAUAUGCGGAGGAACACCGAUGGCGAAGGCAAUCCCCUGGGCCUGCACUGACGCUCAUGCACGAAAGCGUGGGGAGCAAAACAGGAUUAGAUACCCUGGUAGUCCACGCCCUAAACGAUGUCAACUGGUUGUUGGGAAGGUUCCUUCUCAGUAACGUAGCUAACGCGUGAAGUUGACCGCCUGGGGAGUACGGCCGCAAGGUUGAAAACUC